Megalobrama amblycephala (Wuchang bream) is the source of this 871-nucleotide long non-coding RNA. RefSeq lists it as uncharacterized. The transcript is spliced from 2 exons. Lineage: Eukaryota; Metazoa; Chordata; Actinopteri; Cypriniformes; Xenocyprididae. The record is from RefSeq and is a predicted model, not a curated record.
UGCAGUGUCUAACAGUGUCUCACAGCAGCCGCCGAGCGAAUGCACAGAGUAACGUUAUAACAUCAUUUUCAACACACUCAAAUGUAUCUAAUAUGAUAAACAGAGCUGCAUUACCUCAUACCAAAGAGUUUAUUCUUUGCUCAUACUCAUGCAGCGCUACUACUACUACUACUACUACUAGUAGUAUUAUCUUCUUUUAAUAAUAAUUACUAUUAUCUGUUUUUUUACAUAAACACUGAUUGACAAACAAUAUCUUAAGCCCCAACACCAGUUCUGGUUAGUUAAAAUGACAAAUAUGCGUUCAUGGUUACCGAGUUUUAGUUCUCGUUAACCCUGUAAAGCCCACUUUUGCAGAAUUACAACAUCACUUUCAACAAUUUUUAAAAAAUGCCUGCAAAUGUUUUUUUUCUCUCAAGACCACAUUUACAUAGUUAAUGGGUUUUGUUGUUUGUCCUCACAAUGCUAUUGGACAGAAUAAGUGUUUAUAGGUCCGGUCAUCUGGCCACGAACUCACUCUACCUGCAAACUUCACGUCAAGCUCAUCUCCUUUUUUUACAUGACAGGAUUUGUCAAGAUUCAAAAUGCCAAGAUGUCAUCGGACCACCAUCCACUGGAUGUACGCAAAGACAUGAUUGCACAUUUCCCAGUAAAGACGAAGAGAGGACGCUGCAGACACUGCAAUAAUGGAUACACAAAUACACUGUAUCAAGUCCAAUGUUCACCUGAGCUUCUCAGAUGAACAGAACUGUCUUAGGGACUAUCACUGCAAAACUCAGACUUCAUUCAAACCACACUGAAAGUGAUAGAAGAAAAAGAUUUAUAAAUACAAUUUUUUCCAAUAUUUUUAUUAAUAAAUGCUUAUUCAUAAAAA